Molecule: ribosomal RNA, 395 nt
Filed under: Acanthamoeba sp.
Lineage: Eukaryota; Discosea; Longamoebia; Acanthamoebidae
Description: SSU rRNA
Rfam family: Eukaryotic small subunit ribosomal RNA
Source: RNAcentral
CGUGAAAAAAUUAGAGUGUUCAAAGCGGGCAGAAACUUUUUCCUGCCACCGAAUACAUUAGCAUGGGAUAAUGGAAUAGGACCCUGACCUCCUAUUUUCAGUUGGUUUUGUUUUUACAGCGAGGUUCAUCAGGGUAAUGAUUAAUAGGGAUAGUUGGGGGCAUUAAUAUUUAAUUGUCAGAGGUGAAAUUCUUGGAUUUAUGAAAGAUUAACUUCUGCGAAAGCGUUUGCCAAGGAUGUUUUCAUUAAUCAAGAACGAAAGUUAGGGGAUCGAAGACGAUCAGAUACCGUCGUAGUCUUAACCAUAAACGAUGCCGACCAGCGAUUAGGAGACGUUGAAUACAAAACACCGCCGUUAAUCCUUUUCAACGGGGGUUAACGGUUGGUGAAUGACUC